RNAcentral lists this ribosomal RNA (301 nucleotides) under uncultured bacterium. RNAcentral's name for it is "partial 16S ribosomal RNA". It matches the Rfam family "Bacterial small subunit ribosomal RNA", at positions 509 to 809 of the family's 1533-position model. The record is from RNAcentral.
CAGCCGCCGCGGUAAUACGUAGGGUGCAAGCGUUAAUCGGAAUUACUGGGCGUAAAGCGUGCGCAGGCGGUUAUAUAAGACAGAUGUGAAAUCCCCGGGCUCAACCUGGGAACUGCAUUUGUGACUGUAUAGCUAGAGUACGGCAGAGGGGGAUGGAAUUCCGCGUGUAGCAGUGAAAUGCGUAGAUAUGCGGAGGAACACCGAUGGCGAAGGCAAUCCCCUGGGCCUGUACUGACGCUCAUGCACGAAAGCGUGGGGAGCAAACAGGAUUAGAUACCCCCGUAGUCCCUGUCUUCUUAUA